UCGUCACCUCUUGGCGGAAGUCAGCUGAUAAGGGAGCGUUGGCGUUUUUUCGCGUCUGUUUUGCUACCAGAUGAAAACUUGGCAUUCAAAUCUGUCGCUCUUCAGAAUCCAUUAUCACACAAUAUGUGGCUAUACACUUGACUGAGCACCUGUAAGAAUAUACAACUGCGACAUCAACAGCCAGACAGGGGCGACUCAGCUGAUGUCUGAGGACUCACCGGUGAACCUGGAUGUUUCCAGUUCCAAAGAGAUGGAUGGCUCUGGGACCGCUCACCGCAGCCUGACAGGAAGUAGGGCAGAGAGACUGGAAGACAUGCAGCACAUGACCCAAAGGUGGGAGUCGAACCCAGGGCAGCUGCGUUGAGGGGCAAACCUCAUCUGGGUGAACCUUCUCCAACACUGAGCCACAUGCCAUCCCUCUUCUAUACUUUCUGUUGCUGUGACACAUAAAACGCAGUAAAGUUUGUUUCUGAUGAAAACGUUGAAACUGUGCUAUGAUCCUCGAAGACACACUGCAGCUUCUCACUUCUAUUCCAGAGAUUACGGUCAAGUACCACCAACCCACUUUGCACUUCAUCUUCUCCUGCCUGCAGCUUUCUGCCUACAUGCUGAAUGCAUGCAUGUGUGAGAAUAAGAGUGUCUGUGCGUACCACCUCCUCCUCCUACAUGAAGAGGAAAACUCCUAGCACUCACUCCCUUGGGCUCUGCAUUUCCUCAGAAGUGACCUCCAGACCAGAUUCCUCUGUACUUUAAACAAGACUCCCAUUACGGCCCUCGAGGAUACAGUAACAGGUUUCCAUCGUUUGCCCUGGGAAGCUGCGAGGUAGAUGUGUGUUUGAACAUGCCUCUCUGCAGCAGUCUGUGGAGAGACGAGCAAAAGUAAGUCUGCGUGCCCCUGUGUAUAAAUCACUUGACCUAGUCGAGACUAACUGUUGACCGUGGAUUUAUGCCAGUGUGAGGAGCUGCUGACGACAACGUAUUCACCAAACGAUACACAGACUGUGCUGUCAUCCAGCAAAUAUGCUCUCUGAAUGGAACUUCAACAGAAGCCAGUGGGCGACGUUCGGGGAAAAAAACGGACGGUGCCAAGCCCAGAGUGGAUCCAUCAGCUGUGGACUCCCCCCACCCACCCAUCGCCACGGCACAGUGGAAACAGAGCGAUGCUUGAAUUAGAUCAGCCUUCAUCCACACAGUGGGUGACGCGGACAGGCAGACGGAUGCCCACUGCGAAUCAAGCCUAAGAGUAACUUUGUAGAAAAAAAAAAAGGAAAUUCAAUGCUUUGUGUUAUUAAAUGUGAGAAUGAUGAAUGUGUUAACACAUGGAGCAACAAAACGAUGCCUGUGAGGAGCCAGCAGGAAACCCAUGAACCCUAAACGGUUCCCUCGGCUGAAAAUCUGCAAAUUAUGUUGUGUUGUUUCUCUGAUAAUGCAUAGAAUAAUAACUUUUGAACUCCUUGGCAUUCAUCAAGAGAAAUGAAAGCAGGUUUUAGGGGGUCAAAUUAAAGCCAUAUGCUGCUAAAACUUGAUACACUGUAUGUGUUCCAACUGGUUCAAGGAGACAAAUCCAUGAUUCUGCCAGACUAUCACAAAGCAUAACUUCUUCCAGACAAACUGGAGCUAUCGGAGUGGGGGAGGACCUUUCCCCGUGAUGAAGUGUCCUAUCACUACGUUGUCUCUUAAAAUCGAGGGGCUCAAUUCCACUUAUAGGUGGCUGCAAGACACAGGAAAGACAUCUUAUCUGUACAGUUUGAGCUUCAUUGUGUGUGUGUCGGUGAUGUGUGUAUUUUUAACAUUAUCACCCGUCUGUAUCCGCUGGUCCAAGUUAAAUAAUGAAAGUUUUUAAAUGGUUUGUUAUGAACACAUCAGUCUUGUGUGAAGGUACUGUGAGAAAACCUUGGUGGUAUUUCAGUGAGUGAGUUUGAGUUUCAGCUAGGUUCAGUGGUUUUCAUGUUUUGAUAGAUCAUUUAGCCCUUAUGGACACUUCUACCUGAAUCUGUUCUACAACAUGCAUGGAAACCUACAUUCAAUCAGGUACAAUAGCCACUGUCUGGCUUUAAGACCCUGACAAAUGUGGUUCGGAAAGCAUUUAAUCAUUUUUGCUGUAAACCCUUUUCUGAACUCUUUUCAUCAUACGUGGUAUAAACAAGUCAACCAGAAUAUUGGUUCUGGUUGACCAACACCAACCAGUACAAGUUUUUUUAUUCCUCUUUGGUACAUGAAGGUACCAAGGAGACCGUAGACGUUGGAUUCUGUGGUAGUGUUAAGAUGGUUUCCAUUGGUUUCCAUUAAUGCAUACUACGGUAUAAUUAUAGUUGAGCUAUAAAUUAUACCGAAUAUAAAAUAUAAAAUUGUCAAUUUUAUAGGGGGUCUGGAGUAAUAGGAUUUUAACUAUUAUCAGGCCAACAUAGUUUAUCAGUUUAUCAUUGCUAACUGAUCAGAUUGAUUUUCAUACCUCUCUUCACCAACUGUGAAAUUAGUUUUUUAAAAACAUGUUUCUGUUUGAAUAUUUGUUUGGUAAAAUGUUGAUUAAAAUCCAAACUCUAAAACCCAA
Long non-coding RNA from Poecilia latipinna (sailfin molly), 2551 nucleotides. RefSeq lists it as uncharacterized. The transcript is spliced from 3 exons. Lineage: Eukaryota; Metazoa; Chordata; Actinopteri; Cyprinodontiformes; Poeciliidae. The record is from RefSeq and is a predicted model, not a curated record.